RNAcentral lists this unclassified non-coding RNA (228 nucleotides) under uncultured fungus. RNAcentral describes it as "sequence contains ITS1, 5.8S rRNA gene". The stretch from base 179 to 228 matches the Rfam family "5.8S ribosomal RNA", at positions 1 to 49 of the family's 154-position model. Lineage: Eukaryota; Fungi. The record is from RNAcentral.
UCUCCGUAGGUGAACCUGCGGAGGGAUCAUUACUGAGUGAGGGUCUCCGGGCCCGACCUCCAACCCCAUGUGAACCGAAACCUGUUGCUUCGGGGGCGACCCUGCCUUUCGGCGCGGCGCCCCCGGAGGCUCAUCAAACACGGCAUCUCUGCGUCGGAGUCUUAAUGAAUUUAAACAAAACUUUUAACAACGGAUCUCUUGGUUCUGGCAUCGAUGAAGAACGCCAGC